GAUGAACGCUAGCUACAGGCUUAACACAUGCAAGUCGAGGGGCAGCGGUAUCGAAAGCUUGCUUUCGGUAGCCGGCGACCGGCGCACGGGUGAGUAACGCGUAUCGAACCUGCCUCAUACUCGGGAAUAGCCUUGCGAAAGUAAGAUUAAUGCCCGGUGUUUUCAGAGUCCCGCAUGAGGCUUUGAACAAAGAUUUAUCGGUAUGAGAUGGCGAUGCGUCCCAUUAGCUUGUUGGCGGGGUAACGGCCCACCAAGGCAUCGAUGGGUAGGGGUUCUGAGAGGAAGGUCCCCCACAUUGGAACUGAGACACGGUCCAAACUCCUACGGGAGGCAGCAGUGAGGAAUAUUGGUCAAUGGGCGGAAGCCCGAACCAGCCAAGUAGCGUGCAGGAAGACGGCCCUCCGGGUUGUAAACUGCUUUUAGUUGGGAAUAAAACGGGGCUCGUGAGCCCCCUUGCAUGUACCGUCAGAAAAAGGACCGGCUAAUUCCGUG
RNAcentral lists this ribosomal RNA (492 nucleotides) under uncultured bacterium. RNAcentral describes it as "partial 16S ribosomal RNA". It matches the Rfam family "Bacterial small subunit ribosomal RNA", at positions 28 to 507 of the family's 1533-position model. The record is from RNAcentral.